Molecule: ribosomal RNA, 114 nt
Filed under: Salmo salar (Atlantic salmon)
Lineage: Eukaryota; Metazoa; Chordata; Actinopteri; Salmoniformes; Salmonidae
Source: RNAcentral
GCUUACGGCCAUAUCAGCCUGGGUACGCCCUCUCUGAUCUCGGAAGCUAAGCAGGGUCGGGCCUGGUUACUACUUGGAUGGGAGACCGCCUGGGAAUACCAGGUGCUGUAAGCA